Molecule: ribosomal RNA, 462 nt
Filed under: Hynobius kimurae (Hida salamander)
Lineage: Eukaryota; Metazoa; Chordata; Amphibia; Caudata; Hynobiidae
Description: partial large subunit ribosomal RNA
Rfam family: Bacterial large subunit ribosomal RNA
Source: RNAcentral
AGACCAGUAUGAAUGGCAAGACGAAAGUUCAACUGUCUCCCUAAAUUAAUCAAUGAAAUUGAUUUUUCCGUGCAGAAGCGGAAAUAUAAUUAUAAGACGAGAAGACCCUAUGGAGCUUUAAACAUAUGAUCAAUUGAGUAACAUAAAAUCCAAAAGAUAAAAUAUUUAAUAAAACAAUAUGAUCAAAAUUUUAGGUUGGGGCGACCACGGAGAAAAACAAAACCUCCGAGAUGAAAAGAAUAUCUUAAUUCAAGAACUACAAUUCUAAAAAAUAAAAUAUUUAACAUAAUUGAUCCAAUACUUUGAUCAACGAACCAAGUUACCCUAGGGAUAACAGCGCAAUCCUCUCCAAGAGUCCCUAUCGACGAGCGGGUUUACGACCUCGAUGUUGGAUCAGGACAUCCCAAUGGUGCAGCCGCUAUUAAAGGUUCGUUUGUUCAACGAUUAAAGUCCUACGUGAUC